UAGUCAUAUGCUUGUCUCAAAGACUAAGCCAUGCAUGUCUAAGUAUAAAUGGUAUACAGUGAAACUGCGAAUGGCUCAUUAAAGCAGUUAUAGUUUAUUUGGUAAUCGAAUUUACAUGGAUAACCGUGGUAAUUCUAGAGCUAAUACAUGCUGUAAGCCCGACUUUUCGGAAGGGCCGUAUUUAUUAGAUAACAGACCAAUGCCCCCCCGGGCUUUGUGGUGACUCAUAGUAACUAAUCGGAUCGCAUGGGCCUGUCCCGCGACAAACCAUUCAAGUUUCUGCCCCAUCAGCUUUCGAUGGUAGUGUAUUGGACUACCAUGGCUUUUACGGGUAACGGAGGAUUAGGGUUCGAUUCCGGAGAGGGAGCCUGAGAAACGGCUACCACAUCUAAGGAAGGCAGCAGGCGCGUAAAUUACCCAAUCCUAAUUCAGGGAGGUAGUGACAAGAAAUAAUGGGUCGGAACUAACGUUCCGGGACCGCAAUGAGAUGAAUUUACACCCCUUUUCGAGGAUCAAUU
Molecule: ribosomal RNA, 518 nt
Filed under: uncultured eukaryote
Lineage: Eukaryota
Description: SSU rRNA
Rfam family: Eukaryotic small subunit ribosomal RNA
Source: RNAcentral